UACAGAGGUCCCAAGCGUUGUUCGGAUUCACUGGGCGUAAAGGGUGCGUAGGUGGUGAGGUAAGUCGGAUGUGAAAGCUCGGAGCUCAACUCCGAAAUGGCAUUGGAAACUACCUUGCUCGAGGGUUGGAGGGGGGACUGGAAUGCUUGGUGUAGCAGUGAAAUGCGUAGAUAUCAAGCGGAACACCAGUGGCGAAGGCGACUUACUGGACACAUAUUGACGCUGAGGUGCGAAAGCGUGGGGAGCAAACAGG
This 253-nucleotide ribosomal RNA is filed under the name uncultured bacterium. RNAcentral describes it as "partial 16S ribosomal RNA". It matches the Rfam family "Bacterial small subunit ribosomal RNA", at positions 524 to 776 of the family's 1533-position model. The record is from RNAcentral.